AGGACCUAGUGGCAGCUGUUCUCUAGGAAGCCUGACCUGGUCCGACUUUGAUCCCUCCUCAUCUGAGGAACCUUAAGUUUGGCAAAAUGGGACUUAGACUGGAGUCUAAGUUUGAGAAGAGUUCCAAGGAAGUGUUUGCUAUUCAGGAAAGAAGUGAAAAGAGUUGACUGAUGUCACAGAUCCUGCUGGUGUCCUGGCACCAAGUUUUCAUCUAGCCAUAUCUGCCCACCUACAGCAGCAAUGAGUGUUCUCUCCUAUUCAGUUGUUCCCAAGGGAUUGCUCUGGGUCAUAUGGAGACAGGAGUACCUGGGAGUUACACCUCCUAGCCUGGGAGUCCAUCUCCCUGUCUCCCCAUGAAAUCAAGAUUAUGGUACAUUGCUGCUCUGUGCUCUUCAAGGGUCUAGGCUGGAGCCUGACUAUAGCUGGCUUUGCUCCCCUCCCCUGCAGUCCCACCCCCAACACACUCACAUGCAUACGUUUCUUUCCUUGUCUCCUUCUCUCCAAUUAAAAACCCACAAUAAACCAAGAGCUUCCAAGACUUCAAA
This is a long non-coding RNA of Rattus rattus (black rat), 545 nucleotides long. RefSeq lists it as uncharacterized. The record is from RefSeq and is a predicted model, not a curated record. NCBI's taxonomy places the organism in Eukaryota, Metazoa, Chordata, Mammalia, Rodentia, Muridae. The transcript is spliced from 2 exons.